UUCAAUAGAGGCGCGGCUAUUAUCAGUACAUACGGAUAAUGCAGGGAGGCAGUCCGUAUCGAAAGGAAUCACCGCCGAAGCAGGAAAGGGUCCCGGCCUUUUCUGCUGGGACGUCGGGAAAUACCCGUCGUACUGUCACGACUACGUGGAGCGCUAUUGA
Molecule: non-coding RNA, 160 nt
Filed under: bovine gut metagenome
Description: Lysine riboswitch
Rfam family: Lysine riboswitch aptamer
About the family: Riboswitches are metabolite binding domains within certain messenger RNAs that serve as precision sensors for their corresponding targets.
Source: RNAcentral